RNAcentral lists this ribosomal RNA (495 nucleotides) under uncultured bacterium. Its description in RNAcentral is "partial 16S ribosomal RNA". It matches the Rfam family "Bacterial small subunit ribosomal RNA", at positions 28 to 507 of the family's 1533-position model. The record is from RNAcentral.
GACGAACGCUGGCGGCGUGCCUAAUACAUGCAAGUAGAACGCUGAAGGAGGAGCUUGCUUCUCCGGAUGAGUUGCGAACGGGUGAGUAACGCGUAGGUAACCUGCCUGGUAGCGGGGGAUAACUAUUGGAAACGAUAGCUAAUACCGCAUAACAGUAGAUGUUGCAUGACAUUUGCUUAAAAGGUGCAAUUGCAUCACUACCAGAUGGACCUGCGUUGUAUUAGCUAGUUGGUGAGGUAACGGCUCACCAAGGCGACGAUACAUAGCCGACCUGAGAGGGGGAUCGGCCACACUGGGACUGAGACACGGCCCAGACUCCUACGGGAGGCAGCAGUAGGGAAUCUUCGGCAAUGGACGGAAGUCUGACCGAGCAACGCCGCGGGAGUGAAGAAGGGUUUCGGAUCGUAAAGCUCUGUUGUAAGAGAAGAACGAGUGUGAGAGUGGAAAGUUCACACUGUGACGGUAUCUUACCAGAAAGGGACGGCUAACUACGUG